GAGUGUGCAACAAACUAAGCUGUGGUUCAACUGGUUAGGAGGUGGCUUCUUAUCCUAGAGGAGGGUAACCUGGGAAAAAAGGUUCAACAUUGGGGUUUGAACUCAGGUCUGUGGUUCAACUGGUUAGGAGGUGGCUUCUUAUCCUAGAGGAGGGUAACCUGGGAAAAAAGGUUCAACAUUGGGGUUUGAACUCAGGUCUCCAGGAAAAGAAGCCCACCUCCUAACCAGUUAAACCACAGCUU
Molecule: long non-coding RNA, 242 nt
Filed under: Setaria viridis
Lineage: Eukaryota; Viridiplantae; Streptophyta; Magnoliopsida; Poales; Poaceae
Description: long non-coding RNA (SVIR_LNC001897)
Source: RNAcentral